GACGAACGCUGGCGGCGUGCUUAACACAUGCAAGUCGAACGAAGAGCGAUGGAAGCUUGCUUCUAUCAAUCUUAGUGGCGAACGGGUGAGUAACGCGUAAUCAACCUGCCCUUCAGAGGGGGACAACAGUUGGAAACGACUGCUAAUACCGCAUACGAUCUAAUCUCGGCAUCGAGGAUAGAUGAAAGGUGGCCUCUACAUGUAAGCUAUCACUGAAGGAGGGGAUUGCGUCUGAUUAGCUAGUUGGAGGGGUAACGGCCCACCAAGGCGAUGAUCAGUAGCCGGUCUGAGAGGAUGAACGGCCACAUUGGGACUGAGACACGGCCCAGACUCCUACGGGAGGCAGCAGUGGGGAAUCUUCCGCAAUGGACGAAAGUCUGACGGAGCAACGCCGCGUGAGUGAUGACGGCCUUCGGGUUGUAAAGCUCUGUUAAUCGGGACGAAAGGCCUUCUUGCGAAUAGUGAGAAGGAUUGACGGUACCGGAAGAGAAAGCCACGGCUAACUACGUG
Molecule: ribosomal RNA, 510 nt
Filed under: uncultured bacterium
Lineage: Bacteria
Description: partial 16S ribosomal RNA
Rfam family: Bacterial small subunit ribosomal RNA
Source: RNAcentral